CACGUAGGCGGCUUCUUAAGUCAGGGGUGAAAUCCUGGAGCUCAACUCCAGAACUGCCCUUGAUACUGAGGAGCUUGAGUCCGGGAGAGGUGAGUGGAACUGCGAGUGUAGAGGUGAAAUUCGUAGAUAUUCGCAAGAACACCAGUGGCGAAGGCGGCUCACUGGCCCGGUACUGACGCUGAGGUGCGAAAGCGUGGGGAGCAAACA
Molecule: ribosomal RNA, 207 nt
Filed under: uncultured bacterium
Lineage: Bacteria
Description: partial 16S ribosomal RNA
Rfam family: Bacterial small subunit ribosomal RNA
Source: RNAcentral